GGGCCCGCACAAGCGGUGGAGCAUGUGGUUCAAUUCGACGCAACGCGAAGAACCUUACCUGGGCUAGACAACGGUGGACCGUCCUAGAAAUAGGAUUUUCCUUUCGGGGACCGCCGGUUCAGGUGCUGCAUGGCUGUCGUCAGCUCGUGCCGUGAGGUGUUGGGUUAAGUCCCGCAACGAGCGCAACCCUCGUCUUUAGUUGCCACCAUUCGGUUGGGCACUCUAGGGAGACUGCCGGCGUUAAGCCGGAGGAAGGUGGGGACGACGUCAAGUCAUCAUGGCCCUUAUGUCCAGGGCCACACACGUGCUACAAUGGGCGGUACAAAGGGUCGCAAACCCGCGAGGGGGAGCCAAUCCCAAAAAGCCGCUCUCAGUUCGGAUUGGAGUCUGCAACUCGACUCCAUGAAGUUGGAAUCGCUAGUAAUCGCGGAUCAGCACGCCGCGGUGAAUACGUUCCCGGGCCUU
Molecule: ribosomal RNA, 465 nt
Filed under: uncultured bacterium
Lineage: Bacteria
Description: bacterial SSU rRNA
Rfam family: Bacterial small subunit ribosomal RNA
Source: RNAcentral